RNAcentral lists this long non-coding RNA (6707 nucleotides) under Salmo salar (Atlantic salmon). Its description in RNAcentral is "lncRNA (ENSSSAG00000102415.1)". The record is from RNAcentral. Lineage: Eukaryota; Metazoa; Chordata; Actinopteri; Salmoniformes; Salmonidae.
CAAAUAGUCUGGGGGCAAUGCAAAUAGUCUGGGUAGCCAUUUGAUUAGCUGUUCAGGAGUCUUAUGGCUUAGGGAUAGAAUUUGUUUAGAAGCCUCUUGGACCUAGACUUGGCGCUCCGGUACCGCUUGCUGUGCGGUAGCAAAGAGAACAGUAUAUGACUAGAGUGGCAGGAGUCUUUGACAAUUUUUAGGGCCUUCCUCUGACACCACCUGGUAUAGAGGUCCUGGAUGGCAGGAAGCUUGGCCCUGGUGAUGUACUGGGUCGUACGAACUACCCUCUGUAGUGCCUUGCGGUCGGAGGCCGAGCAGUUGCCAUACCAGGCAGUGAUGCAACCCGUCAGGAUGCUCUCGAUGGUGCAGCUGGAAAACCUUUUGAGGAUCUGAGGACCCAUGGCAAAUCUUUUCAGCCUCCAGACAGUGAGAAAACAAUCACAAUAUCAGAGGGAGAUGUCAUGACAGUGAGCACUUACAAGUAUAUUUUGUCUCUAUGAAAACAUCAGGGAUGGUUUUGAAAUGUCAAUGACUGACACAAUAAACACUUUUCAAUCUGGGAGGCUCGGACACAAAGCAAGACUGUAUAAGUCAUCAAGAAAUGCCAACUGCAAACAAAGUCUAAACAGACUGGAUCAUUUCAGAGAUGCAGUCUAACACAAAACAUGAAACAUAGUAUGGAGUUUAUAUACAGUGCCUUCGGAAAGUAUUCAGACCCCUUGACUUUUUCCACAUUUUUUUAGGUUACAGCCUUAUUCUAAAAUGGAUUAAAUUGUUAUCUACACAAAAUAACCAAUAAUGACAAAGCAAAAAUAAAAACACUGAAAUAUCACAUUUACAUAAGUAUUGAGACCCUUUACUCAGUACUUUGUUGAAGCACAGUCUUCUUGGGUAUGACGCUACAAGCUUGGUACACCUGUAAUUGGGGAGUUUCUCCCAUGCUUCACAUCAAAUCAAAUCAAAUUGUAUAUGUCACAUACACAUGGUCAGCAGAUGUUAAUGCGAGUGUAGCGAAAUGCUUGUGCUUCUGGUUCCCGACAGUGCAGUAGCAUCUAACAAGUAAUCUAACAGUUCCCCAACAACUACCUAAUACACACAAAUCUAAAAGCCUAAUAAUCUCUUCAGAUCCUCUCUAGCUCUGUUAGGUUGGAUGGGGUGCUUUCCAGCACAGCUAUUUUCAGAUCUUUAGAGAUGUUAGACCAGGUUCAAAUCCGAGCUCUGGCUGGGCCACUCUAGGACAUUAAAAGAAUUGUUCCAAAGCCACUCCGGCAUUGUCUUGGCUGUGAUCUUAGAGUCGUUGUGCUGUUGGAAGGUGAACCUUCGCCCUCAGUCUGAGGACCUGAGCUCUCUGGAGCAAAUUUUCAUAAAGGAUCUCUCUGUACUUUGCUUCAUUCAUCUUUGCCUCUAUCCUGACUAGUCUUCCAGUCCCUGCUGCUGAAAAAAUCCCCACAGCAUGAUGCUGCCACCACCAUGCUUCACUGUAGGGAUGGUGUCAGGUUUCCUCCAGACGUGACGCUUGGCAUUCAGGCAUUCAAGUUCCAUCAGACCAGAUAAUCUUGUUUCUCAUCGUCUGAGAGACUUUAGGUGCCUUUUGACAAACUCAAAGCGGGCUGUUAUGUGCCUUUUACUGACGAUUGUCUUCCAUCUGGCCACAAUAAAGGCCUAAUUGGUGGAGUGCUGCAGAGAUGGUUGUCUUUCUGGAAAGUUCUCCCAUCUCCACAGGUGAAGUCUUGAGCUCUGUCAGAGUGACCAUCGGGUUCUUGGUCACCUCCCUGACCAAGGCCCUUCUCCCCCGAUUGCUCAGUUUGGCCGGGCAGCCAGCUCUAGGAAGAGUCUUGGUGGUUUCGAACUUCUUCCAUUUAAGAAUGAUGGAGGCCAACGUGUCCUUGGGGACCUUCAAUGCUGCAGAAAUGUUUUUCUACCCUUCCCCAGAUCUGUGCCUGACACAAUCCUGUCUUGUAACUCUACAGACAAUUCUUUCGACCUCAUGGCUUGGUUUUUGCUCUGACAUGCACUGUCAACUGUGGGUCCUUAUAUAGACAGGUGUAUGCCUUUCCAAAUCCUGUCCAAUCAAUUGAAUUUACCACAGGUGGACUCCAAUCAAGUUGUAGAAACAUCUGAAGGAUGAUCAAUGGAAACAGGAUGCACCUGAGCUCAAUGUGGAGUCUCAUAGCAAAGGGUCUGAAUUCUUAUGUAAAUAGUUAUUUCUGUUUUUUUGUUUUUUUUAAAUACAUGUUUUGACUUUGUCAUUACGGGGUAUUGUGGGUAGAUUGGCUGUAAUGUAACAACAUUUGGAAAAAGUCAAGGGGUCUGAAUACUUUCCGAAUGUACUGUAUAUAGACAUUGAGAGGGUUCUGUCACAAAAGUCUCUCCUCUGAUUUGACAUUUCAAGGUAGUCACUUAUGGUUUUGACGUUCAUAUACAAUUUUUUCUCCCCUUUGUUUCAUUUGGGUUUGAGUGUUCCAUGGCACACACCCAGUUUUCCCAUUUGUCACAAAAUACAAUUUGUGAGUCUCUUUGGAUCAAGCAGCCGGCAGAGUGAUGCAAACACAAAGAGUCGGUUUUUCAUGUUUGAUAUCAAUUCAAGUAUUGUUUUCCACAUUUUGCCCACUGGGUCUGGUAAUAUUUUUGGUCUUUAUUAUAGACCAGUCACACUGAGAUCCUUUUUGUCAUGGGUUGUGUUCAUUGUUAUUUGUGGCACGCUUUUGUUUUAAUUUAUUGAAUAAAUCUUGUUUUAUACAUCAUGCAGCAAAAUAGCCACGUAUUCAUUACACUAGCGAGCACUAAACCGUUACAGUCAAUCUGCAGGUACAUUAACUAUUCUUAAGGUAAUUAUCCACUCUAAGUACAGGCACAGGUAAACAGAAUAGACAACUGGAGGCCAAUGUUUUGAUACGGCUGUAAUGCGAUGCUACUGGCGGCAGAGAAGUCAGGCGCAGGAGAGCGGAAACUGAUUUACAACUGUUGUUUAAUAUCCAUAAACCACCGUCAACAGAACAAUACAACAAAUGGGUCAAACAAAGCCCGGUACAUACCAGCAUACCGUGCAUAAGCACUCCAAGAAACAAUCACCGACAAGGACAGGAGGGGGAAAAGAGGGUUAAAUACACAACAUGUAAUUGAUGGAAUUGGAACCAGGUGUGAUGGAAGACAAGACAAAAUCAAUGGAAAAUGAAAAGUGGAUCAGCGAUGGCUAGAAGGUCGGUGACUUCGAAUGCCGCCCGAACAAGGAGAGGGACCGACUUCGGCGGAAGUCGUGACAACGGCGAACGUCUCUUGAAGGGUAUUUGUGCUCUUAAGAAUUCCCCAAUUCGUAGUGGUGUUCUAGUUUGCGUAGUGUCCACUGUCCUAGUCACCCCAAGGCAGAAACAUCAGCAGUGACAAUACAAGUAUGACUCAAGCUGCAAACAAGGGUAUGGAUCCAAUUUCUAGGUCACAGACAGGUGUUUCCAACAUACUCAUGGAGCAUGUAUUUCAUAUUUGAGAGUACCUUGUUACUUUGUAACCAUUAUAAUUAUUUCUGUUGGGUAACAAUGGAGAGAGUACUGUGUUUGAAUAUUUCGAGAUUCAAUUUGGAUGAAGCUCUUAUUCAUUUUUUUGUUCUUUGUCUUGUUGUUCUGUUCUUGGUCCGUGGUUCUACUCUGGAUGCCAAAACUGAAAGUCUACUCACCCGUUUGUGACAAUCCAUGAGAACGAGGCGCUGAUGUCCAAAAAGCUCCUCAGAGAUGUGUACGCUGAGGAACUUGAACUUUUUGACCGUCUCCACGGCGAUCCCGUUGAUUGAGAUGGGGCAUGCUCAGCCUGGUUCCUCCUGAAGUCCAUAAUCAGCUUCUUUGUUUUGCUGACAUUGGGGGAGAGGUUGUUUCCUUGUUUCCACACCGUCAGAGUGCCUACCUCCUCCCUGGAGUCUGUCUCGUCAUUGUUGGUAAUCAGGCCUACUACUGUCGUGACGUCAGCGAACUUGAUAAUGGAGUUGGACCUGUGUGAGGCCACACAGGGAGUAGAGGAGCGGACGCACCCUCAUGGGGCCCCCAUAUUGAGGAUCAGUGUGGAGGAGGUAAUGUUGCCUAACUGUACCACCUGGGGCAGUGUGUCAGGAAAUCUUUUGGCUGAUCAGUAGGCAACAGCCGGCCCCCCUACCAAGAUGGGCCGGCCCGGUUCUCUGAUAGGCUGAGCUGAGGUCAUGCAUGCUCAAAUUCAAAGUAAAACGCAGCAUCAGUAAAGAGACCUGCUCUGAAUAUGUCAUCAGGUAGACAGCCAACAUCAUGGAUCUUAAAAAACGGAAAGGUUGCCUAUGAACGUAGAAAGAGCUCAUUCUACAUUGUUACCUCACUUAAAACGUAAAAUUUUGAGGUGCUAAAACCAUGAUUUGGUCACAGAGUUGGUGGCACGCGCAGUGCUGUGGGUUGGUGUGGAUAAAAUGCCGGGGCCGAAUUCUUGUCCCAGUCCACCCAUGCUCCCCCUGCACAUGACCGGACGUCUUUGUCUGUCGUACAAACUGUUGUAACUAUAAACAACCUUUCUCUGUUGUACCUAUACUAAAAUCGAAUUUACGGCCCACAAACAUUGUAACCUAUGUGCGACAAACUGAUCACUUCAAUUGACAGGCAUGUUGUUUUUGUCAAACUCUGGCUCAUAGCCUACCGCCUACACGGCACGGGAACGUUUAGCUCCGAAUUUUCUCACAAAACGACACUGUACAUAAUUCAAGAAGAUCUUAAUGCAUAUUCCAAUGAAACUGAUUGAGAUCAAAUGGUUGGCAUGCAGAUGCUGAAUGGAUGUAUCACCGGCAAAAUGUGAAGAAUUAUCAUUCACGAUGGAUAAAGUGAGAAACGUAAAGUGAGGGGAGGGUGAUCAGCAGCUAUGCAAAACAAUGUGUGCAUAAAGUCAAGUUUAGGUAACACAUGCGCAGAAUGUGAUCCGGCUGUUUAGCUCUGGGGAAAGAGCCUUCCAGGGGUGCGGGAAAGGGAGGGAACUUUUUAGCCAGUAGUUUUGAAAAGAGCACUCACAAGUCUAGAGGGGUCCCAAAACAUGUUUUACAACAUCACAUAUGUAUAUCAUGUCAAUCUUAUAAGAAUUCAAUGAAAUGCCCAUAUGGACCAUAUAUUGACACGUCAAGUUCAAAACAUCAAAAAAAUUACAGAAGAAUUUUUCAGUCCUCUGUAACAAGUGUUUCAGUAGCUCUCACCCCAGAUUGGAGUUAAUAGAUGAAAUGGUUAUAUAACGUCUAAACAACAUUUUGCUAACAAAACUGCAAUUCUGGAACUCCUUGCUUAUUUUCUGUGGAUGCUUUUCCAUUUGCGAUGGAUUUGGCUUUGUGAGAGCAGGUGAAUUGGUGCUCUGUCCAAUCAAUGACUAUAAUUGUCAAUUACCAUAGGUCUGUGCCAGUAAAUACCACCACACAUUGCAGUGUCCUAAGAUGCUGGUUGUGAGGAUAAAACACAUGCAACUGCUGACUUAAACUGUAACAAGAAUGUUACUAAUCAAUAAUAACAUCUUCAGUAGUUUUGCAGAGUAACUGAAUUCACAGCUCAUAAUUAUUUUCUCAUUGGCACAGACACUGACAUCUCUUUUUCAACAGUAACAUCAUAUUUUUUGUCUGUAGCCUGAAAACACACUUUUGGGAAAGAUUGGGGCAGAUGGCAGCAUAAGCUCUGGCAACCUGGCCUUGAACACAGAGAAGAACAGUGAGAAUAACUCAACAACAGAAGAGGAAGACAACAUCUCAAUCCCCUCACUGCUGAUUACUGAAUCUGAGGAGCCAAACGCUAACCCUGCAAAAGAUGGAUCCUGGCAAGGUGAUGCGACCUCUUUCAACCUUACCAAGGUAAAGAUGGAAGCCUUUGAGACGCACAUUUAAUUUUUUGUGACAUAAAUGGAUGACAAAACAGAACGGGGUAGAGAUUAAGGCAACACUUUAUUUUAAGUGUCCGUAAUAAACCAAUUAUAAGGCAUUUAUGAAGUGUGUUCACCAUUUAUUAAUCGUUACUCCCACAUUUCUAAACCUUUUACUAAUCAUUAGUUAUUAAGUCUUUUUGCAGCCCCUAAUCUAAAGUGAGUGCUAUUUAAGCUUUACAAAUACCUUAUAAAUGUUUUGAGUGACCAGUGUAAUUUCUCACAAAAAGAUGGGCAUGCCAUUGGUAGACAUUCCAGCAGUACCAGGUAAAAUAAUAAGCACACAACACAGGAUAUUUGCUAACAUUUAUGAAUGUGGGAGUAAUGAUUAAUAAAUGGUGAGUACUGUUUGUAAUCGCAUUAUAAAGUUUAUAAAUGCCUUAUUAAUGGUUUAUUACGGACCUUUCAAAAUAAAGUGUUACGGAGAGUCAUUCCCUAUAGUAUUGACAAAGAGGACUUCUGAUCAUUAUAAGCAGAUGUGACAGCAUGCAAUAAAUUCAACUGAUUUUGCUAUUGUAUAAACAUUUAUGAAAUGCAACAUUUUUCUGGAGAUUGUGAAACUACAUGCUCCACUUGGAUGAAAGAGAAUACUUUUUGAAGUGAUUGAUAUAAUUACUUAAUCAUUCUGACUUGUAUUUUGGGAUAAAUUAAUUUGUUCCAACAUUGAAUCAAACAUUUUGUCAUCUUUUCAAAAAGUUGGUUUGAUUACUGAUCUUGUUAAUACAUGCGAAUAAACAUUUUAUUAUACAUAAUGCAAGUACAUCUAUGCGGUGUUGGUGUUGUCCCUGUGAUUUCUUUGUACUAACAUUUCUCAUUUUGAC